AUACAAACAAAAAAACAUACAUACAUAAAUACAUAAAUACAUAAAUAUACAUUAAUACUUGAACUAUAAAUAGUUCAAAUAUUGUAUCACUAAAAUAAACUUUUUCUUGCUAUUUAAUUUUUGAUCACUACAGUAUACAUUUGUGUAAACUAAAAUCUUAACUAACUGCUGAUAACAGGAAUAAAUCAUAAUACCUCAGAAUAAUAAUACUCAACAGCAUUUGAUAAAUUAUUUAUCAACUACUUCCUAGUUAUCAACUUAGGCCUGGUUGCAUAAAACUAUUGCGGAUCGUUAGUUGCUAACUUCGCCUACAUUUUGUUAGUUUCCGUUGCAUAAACGAAAUAACGACAAACUUGCUAGCAGAGAUGACGUCAUAGUCUUGGUAAAGUUAUCGACGCUUUAAGUUGUUGUUAAAGCUUGCUAAUAGUCAUGGAUGCUCUACUUUUAUAUUACUAUCUUGAAAAUUCUCGAAUUAUGAGACGAGAAAGGAUUUUUCGAGAUCGAUCAAAUCCUUUUGAGUGGCCAGAAGAAAUAUUUAUAGGAAAUUAUCAGCUACCACAGCCUGCAGUGUUUGAGUUAUGUGAUAAAUUGAGGAAUGAACUGUCUCGUUCGUAUUAUUUGUAUAGUUUAGUUAAUGAGAUACAAUACUAUUUCACAUUACAUUGAUUUUGUUUUCUUAAAAAAAAUUAAAACUCAUCACUUUAAAAUUUCUCUUGCAAAUUUUCAGAUUAU
RNAcentral lists this long non-coding RNA (732 nucleotides) under Androctonus crassicauda. The record is from RNAcentral. Lineage: Eukaryota; Metazoa; Arthropoda; Arachnida; Scorpiones; Buthidae.